This 176-nucleotide ribosomal RNA is filed under the name Salmonella enterica subsp. enterica serovar Infantis. RNAcentral's name for it is "partial 23S ribosomal RNA". It matches the Rfam family "Bacterial large subunit ribosomal RNA", at positions 2767 to 2925 of the family's 2925-position model. Lineage: Bacteria; Pseudomonadati; Pseudomonadota; Gammaproteobacteria; Enterobacterales; Enterobacteriaceae. The record is from RNAcentral.
AGUGCUGAAAGCAUCUAAGCACGAAACUUGCCCCGAGAUGAGUUCUCCCUGAGACUUAAAGUCUCCUGAAGGAACGUUGAAGACGACGACGUUGAUAGGCCGGGUGUGUAAGCGCAGCGAUGCGUUGAGCUAACCGGUACUAAUGAACCGUGAGGCUUAACCUUACAACGCCGAAG